GAUUAGGAUUGGGAUCGUGGAUUGGGAUUGAGGUGAGGAUUUGGGAUUGCUAUUAGGAUUGGGAUUGGGGUUAGGGUCAGGAUUGGGAUUGGGAUGGGGAUUAGGAUUGGGGUCCUGAAUUGGGAUUAGGAUUGGGAUUGGGAUUGGGAUUAGGAUUAGGAUUGGGAUUAGGAUUGGGAUUAGGAUUGGGAUUGGGAUUAGGAUUGGGAUUGGGAUUGGGAUGGGAUUGGGAUUGGGAUUGGGAUUGGGCAUUUCCCCUAAUUAACCCCCCCCUAAUUAAGCCCCUAUAACCCCCCAACCCCAUUAAACCCCCCCCCCACAUUUAGGGUGGGUUUAUGGGGUUUGGAUGGGGGGGUUUGGGGUGGGGGGGGUCCUUUUAGGGGGCACUUUUGGGGUCCCCAUUGAGACCCCCCCCCCCAAAUAAGCUCAAUAAAGGAUUAAUGGGACACGGCAGCAUCAGCUCUUAUAUGGGGUUAUGGGGUUUCUAUGGGGUUCUUAUGGGGUUAUAGGGUUCUUAUGGGGUUUUAGGGUUCUUAUGGGGUUAUAGGGUUAUUAUGGGGUGUGGGGGGGGAAAUGGGGUUGUGAGGACCCCCCCCAUGUCCUUCAAUGGGGUGUUAUGGGGUGGGGGGGGGAUAUGGGGUUGUGGGGACUCCCCCCAUGUCCUUCAAUGGGAUUCUAUGGGGGGGGAUUUGGGGUCCCCCAUAUCCUUCAAUGGGGGUUUAUGGGGUGGGGAUGGGGUUAUGGGGUUUCUAUGGGGUUCUUAUGGGGUUUCUAUGGGGUUCUUAUGGGGUUUUAGGGUUCUUAUGGGAUCAGUGGGGGAUAUGGGGUUGUGGGGACCCCCCCCAUGUCCUUCAAUGGGAUUCUAUGGGGUGUGAGGGGGAUUUGGGGUCCCCCAAUCCCCCCCAUUAUAUCCCCCCCAUUGGGUUUAAUUAGUCGCUGUCCAUGGUGCUGAAGAUCCAAUUGCUGUCCAUGGUGCUGAAGAUCCAAUUAACAUUAAUUCCUCCCCCUCUUAUUGGCGUUAAUUACUUAAUUAGUUGCUGUUCAUGGUGCUGAUGAUCCAAUUAACUUUAAUUACCCCCUUCCCAUCGGCGUUAAUUACUUAAUUAGUUGCUGUUCAUGGUACUGAUGACCCAAUUAACCUUAAUUUCCAUCCCCCCAUUGGGUUUAAUUAGUCGCUGUCCAUGGUGCUGAAUAUCCAAUUAACGUCAUUAAUUCCCCCCCUUCCCAUCGUCGUUAAUUACUUAAUUAGUUGCUGUCCAUGGUGCUGAAGAUCCUAUUAACUUUACUAAUUCCUCUCCUCCCAUUGGCGUUAAUUAGUCGCUGUCCAUGGUGCUGAAUAUCCAAUUGCUGUCCAUGGUGCUGAAUAUCCAAUUGCUGUCCAUGGUGCUGAAGAUCCAAUUAACGUCAUUAAUUUUAAUUCCCUCAAAUCGUCGUUAAUUAAUUAAUUAGUUGCUGUCCAUGGUGCUGAUGAUCCAAUUAACUUUAAUUACCCCCUUCCCAUCGGCGUUAAUUACUUAAUUAGUU
Molecule: long non-coding RNA, 1524 nt
Filed under: Coturnix japonica (Japanese quail)
Lineage: Eukaryota; Metazoa; Chordata; Aves; Galliformes; Phasianidae
Description: lncRNA (ENSCJPG00005001649.1)
Source: RNAcentral